GGAUGCGAUCAUACCAGCACUAAUGGCACCGGAUCCCAUCAGAACUCCGAAGUUAAGCGUGCUUGGGCGAGAGUAGUACUAGGAUGGGUGACCCCCUGGGAAGUCCUCGUGUUGCAUCCC
Molecule: ribosomal RNA, 120 nt
Filed under: Ipomoea nil (Japanese morning glory)
Lineage: Eukaryota; Viridiplantae; Streptophyta; Magnoliopsida; Solanales; Convolvulaceae
Source: RNAcentral